Molecule: non-coding RNA, 78 nt
Organism: Podarcis lilfordi (Lilford's wall lizard)
Lineage: Eukaryota; Metazoa; Chordata; Lepidosauria; Squamata; Lacertidae
Source: the annotation of a GenBank genome assembly
UGCAUAUGUAGCUCAGCUGGUAGAGCAUGAGGCUCUCAAUUUCAGGGCUAUGAGUUCAAGCCCAUUCCUGCAUUGCAA